GACGAACGCUGGCGGCGUGCUUAACACAUGCAAGUCGAACGAAGAGCGAUGGACGCUUGCUUCUAUCAAUCUUAGUGGCGCACGGGUGAGUAACGCGUAAUCAACCUGCCCUUCAGAGGGGGACAACAGUUGGAAACGACUGCUAAUACCGCAUACGAUCUAAUCUCGGCAUCGAGGAUAGAUGAAAGGUGGCCUCUACAUGUAAGCUAUCACUGAAGGAGGGGAUUGCGUCUGAUUAGCUAGUUGGAGGGGUAACGGCCCACCAAGGCGAUGAUCAGUAGCCGGUCUGAGAGGAUGAACGGCCACAUUGGGACUGAGACACGGCCCAGACUCCUACGGGAGGCAGCAGUGGGGAAUCUUCCGCAAUGGACGAAAGUCUGACGGAGCAACGCCGCGUGAGUGAUGACGGCCGUCGGGUUGUAAAGCUCUGUUAAUCGGGACGAAAGGCCUUCUUGCGAAUAGUGAGAAGGAUUGACGGUACCGGAAUAGAAAGCCACGGCUAACUACGUG
RNAcentral lists this ribosomal RNA (510 nucleotides) under uncultured bacterium. RNAcentral describes it as "partial 16S ribosomal RNA". It matches the Rfam family "Bacterial small subunit ribosomal RNA", at positions 28 to 507 of the family's 1533-position model. The record is from RNAcentral.